GCAGAGCUUCGCUUUGUGAGGCCAGUUGUCGUUGCGACACAUCCCUCUACGAUGAAAUUGCGCUUUGGUAUUCUGUUUGCUGUGCUGGCAGCAAUCUGCAUGGCUGUCGUCGAGUGCUCAACACCCAGUCCAUUCAAGCAGUACCCGGGAGGACCCAAGAAGCCGCCCGUUCGCGUUAACAUUCGUGGUGGUAAUCCUGGCUAAAACACCUGCUGUGGAGCCCAGCCUACAUUGCAAGGAUAUGGGGACACCGCUCCUGAACUAGUUACCUUUCCGAAGUCAAUAAAACGCUGAGAGACUCCUUCUAA
Molecule: long non-coding RNA, 308 nt
Organism: Thrips palmi
Lineage: Eukaryota; Metazoa; Arthropoda; Insecta; Thysanoptera; Thripidae
Exons: 2
Source: RefSeq, a predicted model, not a curated record